Molecule: small RNA, 112 nt
Filed under: unclassified sequences
Description: LOOT RNA
Rfam family: LOOT RNA
About the family: Latescibacteria, OD1/Parcubacteria, OP11, TM7.
Source: Rfam by way of RNAcentral
GGCCUAAACUCUAUAUUUAUAGAGCAUGGCUUAAAAUCAUAACGCAUAUUGACCCCGUCAUUCAGGGCAUGCGUUAUGUUAUGCAGGGAAACUUGUAUAUAGGCUUAGGCCU